AAGUUCUAUUUUACCUUCCAAAAUCAGGUAUCCAAUGCAUUCUUAAGCAAACUUUACAAAAUAUAACAAUGGCCAUAUAAUACAUAGAGUACAUUUUGUUUCUAACUAAGCUAAGCAAUCCUCGUUGCUAAAUUACUAUUGAUUAAUGAGACAUCUGAGAAAACAAUAAUCAAGAGAUCCUAAUCUCUAACAAAUGGUGUCUUAGAGAGACUACAAGGCUUUCUUCUUAUAUUUCUAUUUAUAUCUAAGGUAGUACAAUUCAUAUGGAACAAAUAAACCUCCCUUUUUAUAAAGAUUUCACUAAUUUUUAAUCUUCCUAUUUCUAUUAG
Molecule: long non-coding RNA, 329 nt
Filed under: Physcomitrium patens
Lineage: Eukaryota; Viridiplantae; Streptophyta; Bryopsida; Funariales; Funariaceae
Description: long non-coding RNA (PPAT_LNC009833)
Source: RNAcentral